Molecule: ribosomal RNA, 678 nt
Filed under: Enterobacter mori
Lineage: Bacteria; Pseudomonadati; Pseudomonadota; Gammaproteobacteria; Enterobacterales; Enterobacteriaceae
Description: partial 16S rRNA
Source: RNAcentral
CGUCAGUCUUUGUCCAGGGGGCCGCCUUCGCCACCGGUAUUCCUCCAGAUCUCUACGCAUUUCACCGCUACACCUGGAAUUCUACCCCCCUCUACAAGACUCUAGCCUGCCAGUUUCGAAUGCAGUUCCCAGGUUGAGCCCGGGGAUUUCACAUCCGACUUGACAGACCGCCUGCGUGCGCUUUACGCCCAGUAAUUCCGAUUAACGCUUGCACCCUCCGUAUUACCGCGGCUGCUGGCACGGAGUUAGCCGGUGCUUCUUCUGCGGGUAACGUCAAUUGCUGAGGUUAUUAACCUCAACACCUUCCUCCCCGCUGAAAGUACUUUACAACCCGAAGGCCUUCUUCAUACACGCGGCAUGGCUGCAUCAGGCUUGCGCCCAUUGUGCAAUAUUCCCCACUGCUGCCUCCCGUAGGAGUCUGGACCGUGUCUCAGUUCCAGUGUGGCUGGUCAUCCUCUCAGAUCAGCUAGGGAUCGUCGCCUAGGUGAGCCGUUACCCCACCUACUAGCUAAUCCCAUCUGGGCACAUCUGAUGGCAAGAGGCCCGAAGGUCCCCCUCUUUGGUCUUGCGACGUUAUGCGGUAUUAGCUACCGUUUCCAGUAGUUAUCCCCCUCCAUCAGGCAGUUUCCCAGACAUUACUCACCCGUCCGCCGCUCGCCGGCAAAGUAGCAAGCUACU